This 573-nucleotide ribosomal RNA is filed under the name uncultured haloarchaeon. RNAcentral describes it as "bacterial SSU rRNA". It matches the Rfam family "Archaeal small subunit ribosomal RNA", at positions 341 to 913 of the family's 1478-position model. Lineage: Archaea; Methanobacteriati; Methanobacteriota; Halobacteria; Halobacteriales; Halobacteriaceae. The record is from RNAcentral.
GCGAAACCUUUACACUGCACGCCAGUGCGAUAAGGGGAUCCCAAGUGCGCAGGCAUAGAGCCUGCGCUUUUGUACACCGUAGGGAGGUGUACGAAUAAGGGCUGGGCAAGACCGGUGCCAGCCGCCGCGGUAAUACCGGCAGCCCGAGUGAUGGCCGAUCUUAUUGGGCCUAAAGCGUCCGUAGCUGGCCGCGCAAGUCCAUCGGAAAAUCCACCCGCUCAACGGGUGGGCGUCCGGUGGAAACUGCGUGGCUUGGGACCGGAAGGCGCGACGGGUACGUCCGGGGUAGGAGUGAAAUCCCGUAAUCCUGGACGGACCGCCGAUGGCGAAAGCACGUCGCGAGGACGGAUCCGACAGUGAGGGACGAAAGCCAGGGUCUCGAACCGGAUUAGAUACCCGGGUAGUCCUGGCCGUAAACAAUGUCUGUUAGGUGUGGCUCCCACUACGAGUGGGUGCUGUGCCGUAGGGAGGCCGCUAAACAGACCGCCUGGGAAGUACGUCCGCAAGGAUGAAACUUAAAGGAAUUGGCGGGGGAGCACUACAACCGGAGGAGCCUCCGGUUUAAUUGGAAUC